AUGGCGGAGGCGGAGGUGAGCAACAAGAGGGUGAUCCUGAAGCGGCACGUGACGGGGUUCCCCACCGAGGACGACAUGGAGCUCGUCACGGCGACGGCGCGCCUGGCCGUCCCGCCCGGGUCGGCGGCGGUGAUGGUGAAGAACCUCUACCUCUCCUGCGAUCCCUACAUGCGCAGACGGAUGACCAAGCACCAGGAGCCCAGCUAUCCAGAAUUCGUCCUUGGGGAGGUUAUAACUACUUUUGGCGUGAGCAAGGUGGUCGAAUCCGGGCACCCGGAUUUCAAGGCAGGUGAUCUGGUGUGGGGAAUGACAGCAUGUGAAGAAUACACCUUGAUCACUAAGCCUGCGUCGAUUUUCAAGAUCAACCAUCCUGAAUUACCGCUGUCUUACUACGCAGGUGUUCUCGNNNNNNNNNNNNNUACUGCAUUUUCUGGAUUCUUCAACGUGACCAAGCCAAAAAAAGGCGACUAUGUCUUUGUAUCAGCGGCAUCAGGCGCCGUCGGACAGCUUGUUGGGCAGCUUGCCAAGAUCACAGGCUGCUAUGUGGUUGGCAGUGCUGGUUCUGAUGAGAAGGUCAACCUCCUGAAAACAAAGUUUGGAUUCGACGAUGCCUUCAACUACAAGAAGGAGCAUGACCUCAACACGGCACUAAAGAGGUGCUUCCAGCAGGGCAUCGACAUCUACUUCGACAAUGUGGGUGGUGAGAUGCUGGAUGCAGCACUACUCAACAUGAGGCUGCACGGGCAGGUGGCCGUGUGCGGGAUGAUCUCGCAGUACAACCUGGAGCGUCCUGAAGGCGUGCGCAACCUGGCAUGCGUCAUCACCAAGCGCAUCCGCAUAGAGGGGUUCCGGGUGAUAGAGUACUUCGGCACCUACCGCAAGUUCGAAGAGGAGAUGGUGGGUCACCUCAAGGAAGGGAACAUUACAUACAUGGAGGAUGUCGCCGAGGGGAUCGAGAAGGUGCCGGCUGCGCUCGUCGGGCUCUUCUACGGGCGCAACAUCGGAAAGCAGUUGGUGGCCGUUGCACAGGAGUGA
This 1035-nucleotide ribosomal RNA is filed under the name Triticum aestivum (bread wheat). RNAcentral describes it as "partial small subunit ribosomal RNA". The record is from RNAcentral. Lineage: Eukaryota; Viridiplantae; Streptophyta; Magnoliopsida; Poales; Poaceae.